This 2901-nucleotide ribosomal RNA is filed under the name Escherichia coli. Its description in RNAcentral is "23S ribosomal RNA". It matches the Rfam family "Bacterial large subunit ribosomal RNA". Lineage: Bacteria; Pseudomonadati; Pseudomonadota; Gammaproteobacteria; Enterobacterales; Enterobacteriaceae. The record is from RNAcentral.
UUAAGCGACUAAGCGUACACGGUGGAUGCCCUGGCAGUCAGAGGCGAUGAAGGACGUGCUAAUCUGCGAUAAGCGUCGGUAAGGUGAUAUGAACCGUUAUAACCGGCGAUUUCCGAAUGGGGAAACCCAGUGUGAUUCGUCACACUAUCAUUAACUGAAUCCAUAGGUUAAUGAGGCGAACCGGGGGAACUGAAACAUCUAAGUACCCCGAGGAAAAGAAAUCAACCGAGAUUCCCCCAGUAGCGGCGAGCGAACGGGGAGCAGCCCAGAGCCUGAAUCAGUGUGUGUGUUAGUGGAAGCGUCUGGAAAGGCGUGCGAUACAGGGUGACAGCCCCGUACACAAAAAUGCACAUGCUGUGAGCUCGAUGAGUAGGGCGGGACACGUGGUAUCCUGUCUGAAUAUGGGGGGACCAUCCUCCAAGGCUAAAUACUCCUGACUGACCGAUAGUGAACCAGUACCGUGAGGGAAAGGCGAAAAGAACCCCGGCGAGGGGAGUGAAAAAGAACCUGAAACCGUGUACGUACAAGCAGUGGGAGCACAGAGCAAUCUGUGUGACUGCGUACCUUUUGUAUAAUGGGUCAGCGACUUAUAUUCUGUAGCAAGGUUAACCGAAUAGGGGAGCCGAAGGGAAACCGAGUCUUAACUGGGCGUUAAGUUGCAGGGUAUAGACCCGAAACCCGGUGAUCUAGCCAUGGGCAGGUUGAAGGUUGGGUAACACUAACUGGAGGACCGAACCGACUAAUGUUGAAAAAUUAGCGGAUGACUUGUGGCUGGGGGUGAAAGGCCAAUCAAACCGGGAGAUAGCUGGUUCUCCCCGAAAGCUAUUUAGGUAGCGCCUCGUGAAUUCAUCUCCGGGGUAGAGCACUGUUUCGGCAAGGGGGUCAUCCCGACUUACCAACCCGAUGCAAACUGCGAAUACCGGAGAAUGUUAUCACGGGAGACACACGGCGGGUGCUAACGUCCGUCGUGAAGAGGGAAACAACCCAGACCGCCAGCUAAGGUCCCAAAGUCAUGGUUAAGUGGGAAACGAUGUGGGAAGGCCCAGACAGCCAGGAUGUUGGCUUAGAAGCAGCCAUCAUUUAAAGAAAGCGUAAUAGCUCACUGGUCGAGUCGGCCUGCGCGGAAGAUGUAACGGGGCUAAACCAUGCACCGAAGCUGCGGCAGCGACGCUUAUGCGUUGUUGGGUAGGGGAGCGUUCUGUAAGCCUGCGAAGGUGUGCUGUGAGGCAUGCUGGAGGUAUCAGAAGUGCGAAUGCUGACAUAAGUAACGAUAAAGCGGGUGAAAAGCCCGCUCGCCGGAAGACCAAGGGUUCCUGUCCAACGUUAAUCGGGGCAGGGUGAGUCGACCCCUAAGGCGAGGCCGAAAGGCGUAGUCGAUGGGAAACAGGUUAAUAUUCCUGUACUUGGUGUUACUGCGAAGGGGGACGGAGAAGGCUAUGUUGGCCGGGCGACGGUUGUCCCGGUUUAAGCGUGUAGGCUGGUUUUCCAGGCAAAUCCGGAAAAUCAAGGCUGAGGCGUGAUGACGAGGCACUACGGUGCUGAAGCAACAAAUGCCCUGCUUCCAGGAAAAGCCUCUAAGCAUCAGGUAACAUCAAAUCGUACCCCAAACCGACACAGGUGGUCAGGUAGAGAAUACCAAGGCGCUUGAGAGAACUCGGGUGAAGGAACUAGGCAAAAUGGUGCCGUAACUUCGGGAGAAGGCACGCUGAUAUGUAGGUGAAGUCCCUCGCGGAUGGAGCUGAAAUCAGUCGAAGAUACCAGCUGGCUGCAACUGUUUAUUAAAAACACAGCACUGUGCAAACACGAAAGUGGACGUAUACGGUGUGACGCCUGCCCGGUGCCGGAAGGUUAAUUGAUGGGGUUAGCGCAAGCGAAGCUCUUGAUCGAAGCCCCGGUAAACGGCGGCCGUAACUAUAACGGUCCUAAGGUAGCGAAAUUCCUUGUCGGGUAAGUUCCGACCUGCACGAAUGGCGUAAUGAUGGCCAGGCUGUCUCCACCCGAGACUCAGUGAAAUUGAACUCGCUGUGAAGAUGCAGUGUACCCGCGGCAAGACGGAAAGACCCCGUGAACCUUUACUAUAGCUUGACACUGAACAUUGAGCCUUGAUGUGUAGGAUAGGUGGGAGGCUUUGAAGUGUGGACGCCAGUCUGCAUGGAGCCGACCUUGAAAUACCACCCUUUAAUGUUUGAUGUUCUAACGUUGACCCGUAAUCCGGGUUGCGGACAGUGUCUGGUGGGUAGUUUGACUGGGGCGGUCUCCUCCUAAAGAGUAACGGAGGAGCACGAAGGUUGGCUAAUCCUGGUCGGACAUCAGGAGGUUAGUGCAAUGGCAUAAGCCAGCUUGACUGCGAGCGUGACGGCGCGAGCAGGUGCGAAAGCAGGUCAUAGUGAUCCGGUGGUUCUGAAUGGAAGGGCCAUCGCUCAACGGAUAAAAGGUACUCCGGGGAUAACAGGCUGAUACCGCCCAAGAGUUCAUAUCGACGGCGGUGUUUGGCACCUCGAUGUCGGCUCAUCACAUCCUGGGGCUGAAGUAGGUCCCAAGGGUAUGGCUGUUCGCCAUUUAAAGUGGUACGCGAGCUGGGUUUAGAACGUCGUGAGACAGUUCGGUCCCUAUCUGCCGUGGGCGCUGGAGAACUGAGGGGGGCUGCUCCUAGUACGAGAGGACCGGAGUGGACGCAUCACUGGUGUUCGGGUUGUCAUGCCAAUGGCACUGCCCGGUAGCUAAAUGCGGAAGAGAUAAGUGCUGAAAGCAUCUAAGCACGAAACUUGCCCCGAGAUGAGUUCUCCCUGACUCCUUGAGAGUCCUGAAGGAACGUUGAAGACGACGACGUUGAUAGGCCGGGUGUGUAAGCGCAGCGAUGCGUUGAGCUAACCGGUACUAAUGAACCGUGAGGCUUAACCU